Molecule: ribosomal RNA, 274 nt
Filed under: uncultured bacterium
Lineage: Bacteria
Description: partial 16S ribosomal RNA
Rfam family: Bacterial small subunit ribosomal RNA
Source: RNAcentral
AUACAGAGAGUGCAAGCGUUAAUCGGAAUUAUUGGGCGUAAAGCGCGCGUAGGUGGAUACUUUAGUCGGAUGUGAAAGCCCUGGGCUCAACCUAGGAACUGCAUUUGAUACUGGCAGACUAGAGUGUGGUAGAGGGUAGUGGAAUUCCCGGUGUAGCGGUGAAAUGCGUAGAUAUCCGAAGGAAUACCAGUGGCGAAGGCGGCCCCCUGGACCAAUACUGACGCUGAGGUACGAAAGCGUGGGUAGCGAACAGGAUUAGAAACCCCGGUAGUCC